RNAcentral lists this ribosomal RNA (346 nucleotides) under uncultured Mucorales. Its description in RNAcentral is "eukaryotic LSU rRNA". The stretch from base 291 to 346 matches the Rfam family "Eukaryotic large subunit ribosomal RNA", at positions 1 to 56 of the family's 3401-position model. The record is from RNAcentral. Lineage: Eukaryota; Fungi; Mucoromycota; Mucoromycetes; Mucorales.
UACACACACUGUGAAUCAUCGAAUCUUUGAACGCACAUUGCACUGACUGGAGACCCGGUCAGUACACCUGUUUGAGUAUGUUUUAUACCUCUUCAAACUCAGUCAUUUUUACAAGUGUCUGGGCCAUGAAGGACUAUGGGUCUUUGUCUAGUAGACAUGACCUGAAUUCUAUAGUGUAGCCAGUUGAAUGACUCUACCAGUGCAAUAUUAAACGAUGUUGACACUUGGUUUCCAUCACACUUCGGGCCACUUGAAAUUAAAAAAGCUCUUCGGAACUUCUAAAACAACCAGCAUCUCAAAUCAGGUGAGAUUACCCGCUGAACUUAAGCAUAUCAAUAAGCGGAGG